Nicotiana attenuata is the source of this 189-nucleotide small nuclear RNA. It matches the Rfam family "U2 spliceosomal RNA". From Rfam's summary of the family: U2 is a small nuclear RNA (snRNA) component of the spliceosome (involved in pre-mRNA splicing). Complementary binding between U2 snRNA (in an area lying towards the 5' end but 3' to hairpin I) and the branchpoint sequence (BPS) of the intron results the bulging out of an unpaired adenosine, on the BPS, which initiates a nucleophilic attack at the intronic 5' splice site, thus starting the first of two transesterification reactions that mediate splicing. The record is from Rfam. Lineage: Eukaryota; Viridiplantae; Streptophyta; Magnoliopsida; Solanales; Solanaceae.
AUACCUUUCUCGGCCUUUUGGCUAAGAUCAGGUGUAAUUUCUUUUAUUAUCAGUGUAAUAUCUGAUAUGUCAGUCAUCGACUCACACGAUAUUAUUUUUUUGGGGGAGAGUCCACUACGGUAGCUGGCUAUCUGGACUCUCAAGUGUUGUCUUGGUAUUGCACUAUUCCUUUGGCCUGGCACACCCCAC